AUUGAACGCUGGCGGCAGGCCUAACACAUGCCAGUCGAACGGUAACAGGAAGAAGCUUGCUUCUUUGCUGACGAGUGGCGGACGGGUGAGUAAUGUCUGGGAAACUGCCUGAUGGAGGGGGAUAACUACUGGAAACGGUCGCUAAUACCGCAUAACGUCGCAAGACCAAAGAGGGGGACCUUCGGGCCUCUUGCCAUCGGAUCUGCCCAGAUGGGAUUAGCUAGUAGGUGGGGUAACGGCUCACCUAGGCGACGAUCCCUAGCUGGUCUGAGAGGAUGACCAGCCACACUGGAACUGAGACACGGUCCAGACUCCUACGGGAGGCAGCAGUGGGGAAUAUUGCACAAUGGGCGCAAGCCUGAUGCAGCCAUGCCGCGUGUAUGAAGAAGGCCUUCGGGUUGUAAAGUACUUUCAGCGGGGAGGAAGGGAGUAAAGUUAAUACCUUGGCUCAUUGACGUUACCCGCAGAAGAAGCACCGGCUAACUACGUG
This 490-nucleotide ribosomal RNA is filed under the name uncultured bacterium. RNAcentral describes it as "partial 16S ribosomal RNA". It matches the Rfam family "Bacterial small subunit ribosomal RNA", at positions 30 to 507 of the family's 1533-position model. The record is from RNAcentral.